UUGCAAAUGGAGUGGAGAGAAUUAUUUGUGUUAGAAAGGAGAAAGACAUAACUUAAUUACUUAAUCAUGAACAUGUCCAAAAGCAUUUCUCCAUCAACACAUGGGAAACUUUGUUCAUGUCAUCACACAAGUGAGAUUGUGGUAAUUGAAUUGUACUGGACUUGUUACCAGCUUCUUUCUUUCUUUUUCUUUUUAUUGUGUUAUGUGG
RNAcentral lists this unclassified non-coding RNA (208 nucleotides) under Hevea brasiliensis (rubber tree). Lineage: Eukaryota; Viridiplantae; Streptophyta; Magnoliopsida; Malpighiales; Euphorbiaceae. The record is from RNAcentral.